AGCAGCCGCGGUAAUUCCAGCUCCAAUAGCGUAUAUUAAAGUUGUUGCAGUUAAAAAGCUCGUAGUUGAAUUUAGGGGUCAGUAGAUUGGUCGUGCCACUGGUAUGCACUGGUCUUACUGGCUCCUCCUUCCUGAUGAACCGUAAUGCCAUUAAUUUGGUGUUGCGGGGAGACUGGACUGUUACUUUGAAAAAAUUAGAGUGUUUAAAGCAGGCUAACGCUUGAAUACAUUAGCAUGGAAUAAUGAAAUAGGACGUUCGAUCUUAUUUUGUUGGUUUCUAAGAUUGACGUAAUGAUUAAUAGGGAUAGUUGGGGGCAUUAGUAUUCAAUUGUCAGAGGUGAAAUUCUUGGAUUUAUUGAAGACUAACUACUGCGAAAGCAUUUGCCAAGGAUGUUUUCAUUAAUCAAGAACGAAAGUUAGGGGAUCGAAGACGAUCAGAUACCGUCGUAGUCUUAACCAUAAACUAUGCCGACUAGGGAUCGGAUGAUGUUAAUUUUAUAAUGA
Molecule: ribosomal RNA, 504 nt
Filed under: uncultured Glomus
Lineage: Eukaryota; Fungi; Glomeromycota; Glomeromycetes; Glomerales; Glomeraceae
Description: SSU rRNA
Rfam family: Eukaryotic small subunit ribosomal RNA
Source: RNAcentral